Molecule: non-coding RNA, 92 nt
Filed under: Skermanella aerolata
Lineage: Bacteria; Pseudomonadati; Pseudomonadota; Alphaproteobacteria; Rhodospirillales; Azospirillaceae
Description: Glycine sequence
Rfam family: Glycine riboswitch aptamer
About the family: This family represents the bacterial glycine riboswitch. Glycine riboswitches usually consist of two metabolite-binding aptamers domains with similar structures in tandem.
Source: Rfam by way of RNAcentral
UCGGAAUCUGCGGGAGAGAGAGGCGGCAUAUCGCCUCCGCCGAAGGCGCAAACUCCCAUAAUCGCUCAGGCAUGCCGAACCGCAGAAACAUU